CAACUAAUCCCUCUGUCCCAAAUUUCUUGUCUUAGAUUUGUCUAGAUACAGAUGUAUCUAAUACUAAAAUGUGACUUGAUACAUCCGUAUCUAGACAAAUCUAAGACAAGAAUUUUGGGACGGAGGGAGUACUUU
Molecule: non-coding RNA, 135 nt
Organism: Triticum aestivum (bread wheat)
Lineage: Eukaryota; Viridiplantae; Streptophyta; Magnoliopsida; Poales; Poaceae
Source: Rfam